Molecule: long non-coding RNA, 2378 nt
Filed under: Equus caballus (horse)
Lineage: Eukaryota; Metazoa; Chordata; Mammalia; Perissodactyla; Equidae
Description: lncRNA (ENSECAG00000049739.1)
Source: RNAcentral
CGGAGAGAGAGGUCACCCGCUCAGGCCGGGCCUUGCAAAACACAGUUAUUUAAAGAGUUGUGCAAGGCCGGGGCCCGCGGGUGGCGAAAGGGGCCCCUCACUCCACCCCGGGGGAGGGCGGGGGAGGGCGGGGCGGAGAGCUGGGGAGGGGGCUCGGGGAGUCGGGACAGGGGCGCCCGCCCCCCCCCCCCCCCCCCCCCCGCCCGGAGGAAGUGAGCCGAGCAGAACUGAAGAAGAAGAAAUAAGACGACAAAAACCCCAGUCCGGAUUUCAAAGGCUUCUUGGAAAGCGGCCGAUUUGCAUGGGUGGGGGGGGCAACCCCUCCGGCCGGGGCGACUAAAAACGGAAGAUUAUUGACAAACCCGCCGCCUGGGGUCGGCCGCCGAACGUUGGAUUGACAAACGCGCGCUCCCCGGGCUUCCUGCGCCCGCUUUUGUGUCUGGGGGGCACUGGAUGGGGGGGGAGGCGGGGGGGCUUUUCCCGGGGAUCCCCGCCAGAGAGCCGGGGCCCCGGGCCGAACCCACCCCCUUAUCCCGGGCGCGGGGACCUGGGGACCGUGGUGUCCCCUCCAGGGGCCCCCUUCUGCCCGGGAGCCGACACUUUAUAAAUAAACCGCCCGGGCUGGGGAGGGUCGCCAGGGAACGGCCUUCCGCACCCGGCGCUCCCACUCCGCGCCCUCGGGGCUCUCGAAUAAAACACCCGAUUCCGGGGAGAAAAAAAUGAAAUAAGAACCGGGAGCGCAGCCCCCCGCGCGCGCCGAGAGACCAUUUCCUUCCGCUGGGGAGGGGGGAGCGCGCGCUCGCGACCCCCGAUCGCCCCCGCGCGUCCCCGGCGCAAUACGGUAGGGGGUGAGGUCUCCAAGGCGGGGGCGCCGAGCAAACUGCCCCAACUCCGACCCCCUAGGAUCGCCUUCCCGGCGCUGGACCCCCCACCCACGUCGCUGCCCAACUUUGGGGACCCCGCUCAUUGGUUUCCACGGCGCGCUGCGCCCACCCGAGACCGGAACGCGCGGUUUAAAAGGCCAGUGCGCGCGCCCCCCCCAAGCCUCACCGCGCGGGGCCCGCUCGGGGGGCGCAGGGCCCGCUCGGGGGGCGCAUGCCCCGCGCUGGCGUCCGGCCCUGCCCCGGCCGCGCCUGGCCUCCCGCCCGGGCCGCGAGCUGCGCGCUGCUGGCUGCCGGCCGCCGCCGGGUUUGUGCCGCGCGCCGACUCACCGAGCCGCCAGCCGAGUCCGCGUCUACACCCCCAUCCGACCCGAUUGGUAAAAGGCUCCCCGCGCGCGGCCUCCCCCGCCCCUCCCCUCCCCCCGCCGGCGCGCUCACCGCCCCGCAGACAAAUCACCGGGUGACAAAUCGCUCUCAGAUGCAAAUACCUCGCCGGUGAUUCAGCGCCGCGGCCCGGGACGCGGGGAGGGGUCUCGGGAGGCCCCCUCCCCCUUCCCCGAAGCCCCCUCGCGCCCCGCGCUCGGUCCGGCGACGCGCCACCGGCCCCGGGGCUGUUGGGGAGGGGGGGGAAGACUGGACGGAAAUUUUCAAGUCGCGGCCCCUUUAAAUGAUAAUAAAUAAUAAAAGGAAGGGGAACAGCGACGCGGGACGCCCCGCCCCCUGCCUAGGGAAGGUGGGCAAAGUGCGCGCCGCGGCCCCGAGCGCACAGGGCGCCCAGGGCGCGGGCGGGGCUGGGAGCGCCCGCGGGGGAGGGGAGGGGGGCUGGGCCUCCGCCCGGGCGGCCGGGGAAGGGUGGGGGCCUCGAGCCGGGUCGACGACCCCCUCCCCCAUCUCACCGAGCACCUAGGAGGGGCCUGCCGGGCUCGGAGUUUCACCCCUGCCCCUUAGACGCGGCGCCCGGCAGCCGAGCCCCGGUUUGCAGAUAAUUGUAGCCUCUCCUGCAGAGCCGUCUCCCUCGUUCCCUUCACCAGCUGCCCCGACAGUAACUCAGCAGCGUUUUGCAAAACCGCGGCACGGCAUGGCCACCAGGAGGCCCACACUGAGGCCACCCUCCCAUCUGACCCGGAUCUUCUUUUCCUGGGACCUCUGCUACCCAGAUGGAACCAGACAUCGUGUCACCCGUGGGUCCUUCACGCUCGCCGAGAUUCCCGGAGAGCCACGUGGGGUGUUGUGUGUGUCUGUGGUGUGUUCUUGACCUUGUGCUGCUGAGCGGUGCUCCGUGGGGUGCAUGCACCACAGCGGGUUUCACCCCCCACCUGCCGAAGGACGCCUGGGGUGUCCCCAGUUUGGGGCUUUUGAUAAUAAAGCUGCUGCCGACAUCUGUGCGGGUUUGUGUGCGGACGGAAGUUUUCAUCUCUCUGAGCUGAUUACUCAGGACGCCCCCUUUAGCUUUUUUUUUUAAUGUUUUUUUUUUUAAUUUUUCCUUUUUCUCCCCAA